GACGAACCGUGCGAACGUUAUUCGGAAUCACUGGGCCUAAAGCGCGUGUAGGCGGCCCGGCACGUCUCUGGCUGAAAUCCCCCGGCUCAACCGGGGAAGGGGCCGGGAUACGACCGGGCUGGAGGGGGGUAGGGGGGACGGGAACUCCGGGUGGAGCGGUGAAAUGCGUUGAGAUCCGGAGGAACGCCCGCGGCGAAAGCGCGUCCCUGGACCCCGCCUGACGCUGAGACGCGAAAGCCAGGGGA
This 245-nucleotide ribosomal RNA is filed under the name uncultured bacterium. Its description in RNAcentral is "partial 16S ribosomal RNA". It matches the Rfam family "Bacterial small subunit ribosomal RNA", at positions 524 to 767 of the family's 1533-position model. The record is from RNAcentral.